RNAcentral lists this unclassified non-coding RNA (18 nucleotides) under Mus musculus (house mouse). RNAcentral's name for it is "oocyte_clustered_small_RNA6302". Lineage: Eukaryota; Metazoa; Chordata; Mammalia; Rodentia; Muridae. The record is from RNAcentral.
CUUCAGACAGACUCUUCU